GACGAACGCUGGCGGCGUGCUUAACACAUGCAAGUCGAACGGAAAGGCCCAGCUUGCUGGGUGCUCGAGUGGCGAACGGGUGAGUAACACGUGGGUGAUCUGCCCCUAACUUCGGGAUAAGCUUGGGAAACUGGGUCUAAUACCGGAUAGGACAAUCGUUUAGUGUCGGUUGUGGAAAGUUUUUUCGGUUAGGGAUGAGCCCGCGGCCUAUCAGCUUGUUGGUGGGGUAAUGGCCUACCAAGGCGUCGACGGGUAGCCGGCCUGAGAGGGUGGACGGCCACAUUGGGACUGAGAUACGGCCCAGACUCCUACGGGAGGCAGCAGUGGGGAAUAUUGCACAAUGGGCGGAAGCCUGAUGCAGCGACGCCGCGUGGGGGAUGACGGCCUUCGGAUUGUAAACCUCUUUCGACAGGGACGAAGCUUUGGUGACGGUACCUGUAUAAGAAGCACCGGCUAACUACGUG
Molecule: ribosomal RNA, 464 nt
Filed under: uncultured bacterium
Lineage: Bacteria
Description: partial 16S ribosomal RNA
Rfam family: Bacterial small subunit ribosomal RNA
Source: RNAcentral